This is a transfer RNA of Camelus ferus (Wild Bactrian camel), 72 nucleotides long. It matches the Rfam family "tRNA". From Rfam's summary of the family: Transfer RNA (tRNA) molecules are approximately 80 nucleotides in length. NCBI's taxonomy places the organism in Eukaryota, Metazoa, Chordata, Mammalia, Artiodactyla, Camelidae. The record is from Rfam.
GGGGGUAUAGCUCAGUGGCAGAAUGCUUGCUUAGCAUGCACAAGGCUGUGGGUUCAAUCCCCAGUACCUCCA